AAGUCGAACGUGAAAGCACUUCGGUGUGAGUAGAGUGGCGGACGGGUGAGUAACGCGUGGGAAUCUACCCAGUAGUGGGGGACAACUACCGGAAACGGUAGCUAAUACCGCAUACGCCCUAUGGGGGAAAGGCUUCGGCCGCUAUUGGAUGAGCCCGCGUCAGAUUAGCUAGUUGGUAGGGUAAAGGCCUACCAAGGCAACGAUCUGUAGCUGGUCUGAGAGGACGAACAGCCACACUGGGACUGAGACACGGCCCAGACUCCUACGGGAGGCAGCAGUGGGGAAUAUUGGACAAUGGGCGGAAGCCUGAUCCAGCAAUGCCGCGUGUGUGAAGAAGGCCUGCGGGUUGUAAAGCACUUUCAGUUGGGAAGAUGAUGACGUUACCAACAGAAGAAGCACCGGCUAAAUCCGUGCCAGCAGCCGCGGUAAUACGGAUGGUGCGAGCGUUAAUCGGAAUUACUGGGCGUAAAGCGCGCGUAGGCGGCUAAGUCAGUCAGAAGUGAAAGCCCCGGGCUCAACCUGGGAAUUGCUUUUGAUACUGCUUGGCUAGAGUUUGGUAGAGGAUAGUGGAAUUCCAGGUGUAGCGGUGAAAUGCGUAGAUAUCUGGAGGAACAUCAGUGGCGAAGGCGACUGUCUGGACCAAAACUGACGCUGAGGUGCGAAAGCGUGGGUAGCAAACAGGAUUAGAUACCCUGGUAGAAGGGC
This 705-nucleotide ribosomal RNA is filed under the name uncultured Gammaproteobacteria bacterium. Its description in RNAcentral is "bacterial SSU rRNA". It matches the Rfam family "Bacterial small subunit ribosomal RNA", at positions 59 to 795 of the family's 1533-position model. The record is from RNAcentral. Lineage: Bacteria; Pseudomonadati; Pseudomonadota; Gammaproteobacteria.